RNAcentral lists this ribosomal RNA (284 nucleotides) under uncultured Acholeplasma sp. Its description in RNAcentral is "partial 16S ribosomal RNA". It matches the Rfam family "Bacterial small subunit ribosomal RNA", at positions 1100 to 1382 of the family's 1533-position model. The record is from RNAcentral. Lineage: Bacteria; Bacillati; Mycoplasmatota; Mollicutes; Acholeplasmatales; Acholeplasmataceae.
AACCCUUAUUGCUAGUUACCAUCAUUAAGUUUGGGGGACGUCUAGCGAGACUGCCAGUGAUAAACUGGAGGAAGGUGGGGAUGACGUCAAAUCAUCAUGCCCCUUAUGACCUGGGCUACAAACGUGAUACAAUGGCUGAAACAAAGGGCAGCGAAGGAGCGAUCUGGAGCGAAACCCAAAAAAGCAGUCUCAGUUCGGAUUGAAGUCUGCAACUCGACUUCAUGAAGUCGGAAUCGCUAGUAAUCGCGGAUCAGAACGCCGCGGUGAAUACGUUCUCGGGGUUU